This is a small nuclear RNA of Cavia porcellus (domestic guinea pig), 107 nucleotides long. Lineage: Eukaryota; Metazoa; Chordata; Mammalia; Rodentia; Caviidae. The record is from Ensembl.
UUGCUUCAGUCAGUAGCACAUUUAUUAAAGAUGAAACAAUACUUGGAAAAUAAACACAGCCUCUGCACAAGAAUGACACAUAAAUUUGUUAAGUGCUAUAUAUAUAU